UACAGAGGUGCCAAGCGUUAGGCGGAAUCACUGGGCUUAAAGCGUGUGUAGGCGGAUUGUUAAGUCCCUUGUGAAAUCCCACGGCUCAACCGUGGAACUGCUGGGUAUACUGGCGAUCUUGAGCCACCUAGGGGCGAGCGGAACAAGCGGUGGAGCGGUGAAAUGCGUAGAUAUCGCUUGGAACGCCAACGGUGAAAACAGCUCGCUGGGGGUGUGCUGACGCUGAGACACGAAAGCCAGGGGAGCGAACGGG
This 253-nucleotide ribosomal RNA is filed under the name uncultured bacterium. Its description in RNAcentral is "partial 16S ribosomal RNA". It matches the Rfam family "Bacterial small subunit ribosomal RNA", at positions 524 to 776 of the family's 1533-position model. The record is from RNAcentral.